AGAAACUGAGAUCAACCGAUGGUGUUCUCAUCAGUUUCACAUUUUGAUAUUUUUGACCUCAGUAGCAACAAUAUUUAGUGACAAUACGGCGGUGGGUUCAGUUUGCUAACAUUUUUAUCUUCAACUAUCUAUCGCCACAUUUUCAAUCGUUUAUCAUCUUCCCAAUAUUUUGCAAAUUAUCAAUUUUGGCUGAAUCCUAAACACAUCAAAAAUGGAUAAGUUUGACGAGAGAGAACUGCUGAACUACGACACAUAUGACGAUUAUUUGGAUUCAUUUGUGCAAAGCGACGACAUGUUUUAUCUGAGAAACAGUGAAAUGGCUCGUAUGGUCGCAGCGUUAGGAUUAAGAUCAUCGACUGAAGUUCUUACCAAAAAGCAAUUCUACCACAAAAGAGAAAUCGUUCGAGAGUCAUUGUUCCCACGCCGCAAGCCUCACAUUUUGUUCAGCUCUCAUUGUCGUUCAGAAGAUCCAUUGCUGCUUGAAUUGGCCGAACGAGAGCGCCCGAAUCGAGUCGGAAAGAUAACUACCAUCAUUUCGAUAAAAGGUCGCCAAUCGAAUGGGGACGAAAUAUCUGGCUUUAUUGAUUACGAAGAAAGUCUCAGGAAGACCAUAUUGGAAUUCGAUGAAGAUGCAACCGAUUGGUAUGAAAUAUUCAAGGAAAACAAACGAAUUAUGCCGACAAUGAGUGAUUUAGGAUACUACAACUGGAGCUCGGGUUUUUCAGUUUUGAAUGGCUCCAAAAACUUUAGGGCUAUCGCUGAUCCGAACCAAGGUUUGAUUUUUGAAAGCAAAAACGAUCGACGUCGCAUUUCCACCGAUCCAUUGAAAAAUCCUGGUCACAGCAGUACGAGAACGGUCGUUGAGAACAGCAAUUACGAUCACGUUAUUUUGUUUGACCACGUCGUUAGGGCAAAACUAUAGUUAGGGCAUAGGGCAUGCAUGUCACAUGAAACUAAAUUAUCUACGAAUUUCCGAUUGACUGCUGCCGAUAUAGAAAUUUGAAGUCUGGGAUACUGAUUUUCAAUGCACUAAUAUGUUUGUUCGAAAAAACGUAUCGAAAUAAUCAGCAUUGGGAGUGUUGCAGCAAUAAUAUAAUCAUCAAAAUUCAAGCGAGUCAAAUUGCAAUGCUCAAUAGAAUCGAUCCGAAUAGGAGGGGUAGGUUUCAUUAAAAAAUAUUUCAA
Molecule: unclassified non-coding RNA, 1182 nt
Organism: Bradysia coprophila
Lineage: Eukaryota; Metazoa; Arthropoda; Insecta; Diptera; Sciaridae
Source: RefSeq, a predicted model, not a curated record